This 24-nucleotide microRNA is filed under the name Brachypodium distachyon (stiff brome). RNAcentral's name for it is "bdi-miR7783-5p". The record is from miRBase by way of RNAcentral. Lineage: Eukaryota; Viridiplantae; Streptophyta; Magnoliopsida; Poales; Poaceae.
GCGUCUACUUGGUAUCCAAGCUUA